Molecule: long non-coding RNA, 16496 nt
Filed under: Glycine max (soybean)
Lineage: Eukaryota; Viridiplantae; Streptophyta; Magnoliopsida; Fabales; Fabaceae
Description: long non-coding RNA (GMAX_LNC003740)
Source: RNAcentral
AACUGGAGGUGUAACAAGCAAAAAGGCCAGAAAAAUUGAAGAGAAGAAGAAAAUCUGAAGCAGGCCCAGUCCAAUACGCGCGCUGAGCGCGCGUCACGCGCUAAGCCCAUGAUCCAACAGAAGCGCGCGCUAAGCCUGCAACACGCGCACUAAGCCCGCGAUCUAACAGAAGCGCGCGCUAAGCCUGCAACACGCGCGCUAAGCCCGCGAUCUAACAGAAGCACUCGCUAAGCCUGCAACAUGUGCUGAGCGAGGGGGUGUCGCGCUGAGCGCGCCUACGAAGGCCCAAAGCCCACUUCAGCAGCUAUAAAUAGAGAGCCAGUCCAAGGGACAAAAGAACUACGACAGAACCCCCUCUCCUAGGGGUUUCAUUUACUUUCUUUCACCCCUCUUCUCAUUGUAAAGCCCUCAAUGGCCAUGAGUGGCUAAAUCCCCUUAGCUGACAGGCCUAGAAGCCAAUGUGAUGUAUGAUGUACUCUUCACUAUUUAUCAAUGCAAUACCAGGUUUUUCUUUCCUAUUUUCUUUUCUGUUUUUACCUUGCAUACUCAUCUUUAUAUUCUGUUAGGGGUUAGAUGCUCGGGAGAGGGUAACUUCUAAAUAAGAUUUAAAGAAGAUAUGCAUGCAUUAGGUUUUAGGGGUUAGACGCUCGGGAGAGGAUAACUUCUAAUAGAACAAGAAGAAAAGAUAUCAUAAUAAAAUCAUUGCUAGGCAUAGAGUGAUUGCAUUAUGCCCAUGCGUCAAAGCAAACAUCUAGAAUUAGAACUUCAUGCAUUUUAUCUAUUGAGUCUUUGCAAAGGCAUUUGGGGGAUAGAUAGGUAAAAUAGGCUUGUCAUCGUGAGGCAUCAGGGGCAAGUAAAUGAAUAGAUGUGAGUGGGAUAAAAUCACCUGAAUUGGUAAAGAAAAAAUCAUAAACUCAUACAUCCUAGGCAGAUAAGGCAAGUCAGUUCCUAACACUAUUUUAUCUUGAAUUUAUCUUUUAUCUAAAUCUUUUAUCUUUCUUAUCUUUCAUCUUUUUCUUUAUCUUUUAAUUUUAUCUUUAAUUCUUUUAUCUUCUAAUUUUAUCUUUAAAUCUUUUAUCUUUUCUUUACCUUAUCUUCUAUCUUUCUUUAUCUUUUAUUUUAAAUUUCUUAUCUCUUGCUUUUAAAUUGGAUUUGCAUUAAUCUAAGUACAAACAAAGUCCCUGUGGAUUCGACACUCGGACUUCCGAGAACUUUACUACUUGUCACGAUUUGGUGCACUUGCCAACGAGUCAACACAUCUUUGAAAGCAAAACUUAAGGGCAAGAACUUUAUCACAUUGCAUUGCAUGGGGGAUUUGGUUCAAAGUUAUUUGGUGUAAUAUGAAUGUGUUAUACUUUUGCUUUUGUUUUUUGUGUGUGUUCUUUUUUGUUUUUUAUGGGUAGAAGAAUGCGAUGUACUUCAUUUGCCUUGAGCUUGCAGUUUUGAUUUAUUUAAUACGUAUAACUGUGGCAUAUGCUGUAUAAUAAUAAUAAAUGUUGUAUAUUUUUAAAAAUGCUAUCUAUUGGCCAAUGCUAAAAUAUAUAUUUUGUAUCUUAACAGUAUGCAGUUGUCUCAUUUUAUUCAAGGAGCUCAAUUCACGGUUUUACUUUCUAUUGUAGUCUAUUUAAUUAAUUUUCUAACCAUGUAACCACACCGUGACAUGGCUUUAGAAGCUGAGGUCCAAGGGCGUAAGUUUAAGAGCACAAUUAUUAGUAUAUUUUGACGGUUAAAUUAUAGUUAAAUUUAUAAUUUUUUUUCUAAUUUUUUUAAGCAAAUAAUGGUUAAAUUAAUAUCAUUUAAGUUUUUGUGCAAAACAUAUUAAAAGUGAUAGAUUUAUGAAACUUAAUGAGUAAAAUAAAGCUCAAAAAAGCAUAAAGAAAGCAAGCUAAUCGAAGAAAAUAAGAAUAAUUAUGAAAAAAAAGAUUAAUUGAGAAAAAAGAUUAAUUAAGAAAAUCAUUAAUAAUAAAGGAAAUCAAGCUAAAUGAGAAAAAAUGACUAAUUGAUGAAAGAAUAACUAAUGAAAGAAAGACUAAUUGAGAAAAAUGACUAAUUAAGAAAAGAAGACUAAUUGAGAAAAAUAAAAUAACUAAAGAAAGAAAGACUAAAUAAACAAAUCAGAGUCUAAAGUCCAUUGAUUAGCAAAAGAAGAAGAGAGAAAAAGAAAAUACAUAAAAAUUCCAAGAAAAUAUAAUUUCUUAUAGAAUGUAAAGGCUUGAAGGAGACAAGCAAUGAGAGUCAUUCCUUUCUUUUAUUCAUUUUCUUAUCUUUUCUUCCAUUUACUAAAUAUUUUCCACUUGUAACUCUAAAGCCUUCAUGAUAACGAGAGACUAAAUCUCAUUUAUUGAAAACUUAAUUGAUGGAAGCUUGCUUGUGGGGCUUCUAUGGAGGCUGAAUCUUUGAGCUUCAAUGAGGUCCUUUAAUGGUGAUUUUCCACCAUGGGGAUGCAGCGGAAGACAAAGGAGAAGAGGUGAGAGGAGGCGCCAUCCACUAGGGAAUAAGCCAUGGAAGAAGGAGCUUCACCACCAAGAUGAGCCUUGGAUAAGAAGCUUGGAGAGGGUGCUUCAAUGGAGGAAAAGAAAGAGGGAGAGAAAGAGAGAGGGGGGAGCACGAAAUUGAAGGAAGAAAAAGGGAGAGAAGUUGAACUUUGAGUGAUGUCUCACAAGACUCUCAUUCAUCCAAGUUACAACAAGUGUUACACAUGCUUCUAUUUAUAGACUAGGUAGCUUCCUUGAGAAGUUUUCUUGAGAAAACUUCCUUGAGAAGCUUCUUUGAGAAAACUUCCUUGAGAAGCUAGAGCUUAGCUACACACACCUCUCUCAUAACUAAGCUCACAUCCUUGAGAAGCUUCCUUAAGAAGAUUCCUAAAGAAGCUAGAGCUUAGCUACACAUACCUCUCUAAUAGCUAAGCUCACCUCCUUGAGAUGAGAAGCUAGAGCUUAGCUACACACCCCCUAUAAUAGCUAAACUCACCCCCAUGACAAAAAACAUGAAAAUAACAAAAAAAAUCCUUAUUACAAAGACUACUCAAAAUGCCCCGAAAUACAAGACUAAAACCCUAUACUACUAGAAUGGCCAAAAUACAAGGUCCAGACGAAGGAAAAACAUAUUCUAAUAUUUACAAAGAUAAGCGGGCUCAUACUUAGCCCAUGGAUUCGAAAUCUAUCCUAAGGCUCAUGAGAACCCUAGGGCCUUUCCUUGGAUCUGUAGCCCAAUCUACUUGGAGUCUUCUAGCCAAUGCCCUUGCGGGGUAGGAUUGCAUCAUUAAUUGUCAGCCAACUUUCUAUCUAUUUAUAAUAUUACAUUUAUAUGAUCCUUUCUUAUGUUACAUGGUAAGUUUUAGGGGUAGCAUUGAGAAAUAGUAUUUUCUAAUAGAACUGAGAAAUGUAUCUAAAUAAAGUUAUCACUAGAAAUAGGUUGAUAUUUGUUUAGUCUAUUAUGCAUCUUUAUUCUUAAUACAAUUUAUUAUUUUAGCUUUGCAAAGAUAGUUGAGAGAGAAAAUAGAUAAAUUAGACUACUUCUUUCAUGCUAGUGACCAAAGUUAGAGUAUAGAUGUAAAUUGAAAUAAUUAUAAAUAAAGAAAAAUUAUUAACAAUACACCAAAGAGUGACUCUACUAGGUUAAGUUUCCAACAUUCUCAUAUUCUGAAUUAAUCUUUUUAUUAUCAUCUUUAUCUUUUAUUUUUCUUAUCUUUUAUAUUAAAAUUUCUCAUCUAUCUAACCUUUAUCUUUUUAUCUUUAUCAUCUUUUAAUUUAAUUUUUAUCUUAUUUUUUAUCUUUUAUUUUAAAUUAUUUAUCUAUUACUUGUAAAUUGAAUUUUCAUUAAUCUAAUUACAAACAAAAUUCAUGUUGAUAUGAUACUUGAAUUUUCCUUUUAACUUUACUAUAUUUGAGAUGUAUUAAUGAAUUUGUCAAUCUAUCAACAAUAUAGGUUUUGCCAUAACAAAAGAUAAAAUCCUUUACCGAUAGGGUAUUCCCAAAUAAUGACAUAACUCAAGAUUACACCACCCAUAACACAAAAGAAUCCUCACGAAAUGCCUUUACCGAAAUAUAUUUUUAAUAUUCAAGAAUAAAUAUUUCAAAAUACAUCCGGUAAAUGGUUUCAGUUGGCUUAUGGGUAGGCUUUUUCAUAAACAUCAUGUUUCAAAGCUCUUAUAUAUGAAUAGGUUUCCACAGCACAAAAUAGUUUUUUUCUUAAGGAUAGGCUUUUCCAUUAACAAAACGGUCAAUGCCUAACGCAAAAUUUGGCCUAACAUGAACUGCAUAUUGACGGUUCAAUUCCAAUACUAAAUUAUGAAGGGUACUUCUAUGAUGUGAUGUUUUUCUUUUUAUUUUAAUCUUGAUGUGAACUAUUUAUUAGUUGUGAUAUAUAUAUAUAUGAUAAAAAUAAAAAUAACAACUACUUGGCUGCACUCUUACAAUGAUGGGUUAUUAUUGUACAAAUUUCUGGAUCCAAUUAAUAGAAACUCGCGCUUAUUAACCAUAUGUGCAGGUCAAUAUAUAACAUUCAUUUCUUUAAUUGAUUAAGAAAUCAUUGACAUAAACACGAUAUGGCUAGGAACCUUCAAUAUGCAUUGGAAUAUUGCUCACCUAAUAUGUAGCUGCCUGACGCAAUGUAUGACAGGGAUCUUAUAGUAUUAUUGACCAUAAUGCUCUUGUUUGGACGCGGAAAGAAAAUUAUUUGAAAAAUGAGAGUAAAAGAAUGACUAUUCAUGAGUCAUGAGGAAAAUAUUUUUCUAAUGCAAAUAGAAAUAUCAUGAGUAAAUUAGAAUAACUUCAUGUUGUUCGGUGGUUUAGAAAAGCUUUGAUGGACAAGUGAUUCCUAUUUAUAUAUCUUGUUUUAUUUUAUGACAAAUUAAAUUUAAAUGGGAGGAACUAGCUAAUAUAAAACGAAAACAAAAAAAUUAAAAAAAUGUGUUCAAUCAACCAUGAGCACUUUAAUCUUUUGCACAACAUUGACAAAUAUAUAUGUUGUUGUAAACCUUGAAUAUCAUAUGCUUGAUGCAUGACUUGCUAGAUUCAAUCUCAUGCACCACCAUUCACAUUAUAUGAUUGGUCACUACCCCUCAAGCCGAUGUUACGUCUUCAAUUGUAGCGGUCACGCUGGGUUCUGUUUCUAUUCCUGCGAUUAUUUCAGUUUAAGUGUUACCUAGGUUAUUGUAUUUGCCGGAUGUUGUUUCUUCUAGGGGGUUCGAGCCAUCUAUUAUUUGGCAAGUGUGUUAUGCCUUGGGAGCUAGGGCUAACUCUGUUAAAUGUUGUUUUAUGUCUUUCUCUAAUCCUGUAAUUUGUGUUGUUGCACCUCUGGUGCUAUUUCAAUGAUAUUCUUUUGGCUGUUUCAGAAAGAAAGAAAAAAUAACAAGGAAGAAAGUUUAUUUCUGCAUUUGCAUUGCAUUGAUCCUCUAAUUAGGUUUCUCAAAAUCUAAGCAUGUAUAGCAUUCCCAUAUAUAUUGUGAGGGAAAUAAAAUAAAAAAGAAAGUUGAAAUUAAGAAAAGACUACAAUAUUAGCUCGUUCUCGAUCUCUCCACGCAUAUAAAAUAUUAUCGUUUAGUCACAAGUCACUCGCACAACACUAUACUACUUAGACUGUACAAAUCAAAACCUGAUAUCUCUGUCUCAGCUUAUAUAAAUAUGAUACUUAGACUUGAAGAACAUCCAAAGCUGUCAAGCCAUACAGAACGAUACAAAAUUACAAUAAAUUAAGUAUAAUUGAAUAUACACACCUAGUGCCUUUGGAUCUUGGAAUUCUACUACCUACGUGACAUCAGUUACAGUGUAAGAAUCCAUUUGGAGGUCUAAGUUCACAUUAAUUUAUAAACGUUUCAAUUUUUUAUAUUAAAAUUUUUAAUCAUUUAAAAUUAAAUAUUUUUUUAUUAUAAAUUAUUAGCAGCAGGGAUAUACUCCCGUGUUGUCAAUGUUGGGCAGAACUCACACACACAUAAAAUAAGAUUUCAUUUUUUUUCAAUUAUGUAGACGUUUCUUUCAACCGUAGUUUGUUUACUCUUGAAUUUCGAGAAGAAAAAUGGACACCUUUUCCUACUCCUAAAUACUUUUAUAAAGAGAGAUCGAAUUGGCAACUUUACGCGUAAUGGGCCAUAAUUCAUACGAAGCUUGGUUCGUUAAAUCAAAUAAUUAUUCUUAGACUUUGUUAGUCAUAUUGCUUCAGUCAUAGAAAAUUAGGUUUCAGUGGUAUUUUCCUCAAAGACUGAUGAAUAAUAAUACACUUAUGAUCAAUUAAUUCAUUGAAAUGCCAAGUCUCAAAAUCCCGAAUUAUACUUAUGCAAAAUUACCUACUACCUUUUAGAGUCAUUUAAACCAUUAUUAACACGGCUUGGCUUAAUUUUCGCCUUCCGCCUACUAAAAGACUAUGACAUAAAAGGGGGAUAUUCAUCUACAUUCAGUGUUUAUAUAAAUCUUUCGUGUUAUGUAGCACUGCUCUAUACUUUAUACCAUAAAUGCACUUAACGAGUGCUUAUAUCAUUUGAUAAUUCCAGAUCUUUUUGCAAAUAUUAAGUUUUACUUAUUCAAUGAAAAAUGAUUAUUUAAAGUUAAUUAUUUAAAUAAUUUGUAAUCAAAAUAGAUUGUUAAAAUUUUAUAUUGUUAUCGAAUUGGUCUUUUAAUUACUAAAAAUUUAACCUGCAAUCAAAUUAGUCUUGGAAAUUUUAAAAUAUCACAAUACUAUUCAAAUUUAACUCAAAUUUAAAUUUUGUUCAUGUGUUUAUUUUAGUAUAUAAAUAAAUACGCCAAGGAACCGUUAAAUAUUUUGAUUACAUUGGUGUUUUAGGCAUGGUAGGACACAUCAUGAGGGUGUUUGGAAAUUAGCGAACUGAAAAAAAAAAGUUAACUUAAAAUUUAGUACCUAGGUGAAAGUUAAGUAUUUAUAUUUUAUUUUAUUUUUUAAGCAGCUGAAAGUUGAAUAUAAUUAGUUGAAAGUAGAUAAGUUAGUUACUUGAAUUUAAAAUAUUUAGUAAAAUUAAAUAUUAAACUAUCUGAUAAGUAUUAAAUAAUAUAGAAAAAGUGAAACACAUUAUUAUUUAGUCGUAACUAUAUUUAGUAACUAUAUAUACUUUUAAAUACCAUUAGUUUUAAUAUUUUAAUUUAUAUCAAAUGUGCAUCAUCUUAAACAUUAGGAUUAUUUUUAGUUUUAUUCUUAUUUUAAAUUUAGUAUUAAAUAAAUAGAUUCAUAUUAUAAUUUUGAUGAUUUUAUUUUACCAAGAAAUGAUAUUUGAUGAGAGUGAAAGAGAGUGUAUUAAGGUUUCUAAACAGAUAAAAAAGUUAGUGAUGAUAUAAAUGAGAAAACAAUAAUAGUUUAGAAAUUUAUAAAUUAAAACACCAGAGUGUUUUAAAAAAACAUUUUUAGUGAACUUUUUUUAUAUCAAAUUAAACUUUUAAAUUAACUAGUCAAUUAAGUUAUAAGAAGUUAACUGUUUCUUGUGGUAAAUAUGUACGAGCUUCUCCAGCAAGGAUAUAAAUUGUACUUUAACAUUCUGUGGGGUUAAUCCUUUUGUUACAACCAAUCCCGGUUGAUAAUUUUUCUAGCUGUUCAUUAAUACGCUUAGAUUUUAUUUUUUAACUUUUUAUAUUGGUGAAUAGUAUGGAGUUAAGUAGUGAAUAAUGUGUUGACAAUCAACAAUCAUUUCGUUAAUAAAAUAAUAUACAUUUUUUUAACUCAUUACGUUCACCCCGUUUACUAAUAUCGAUAUAAUGUUUAAGGAGGAAAAAAAGGCACUUCACCUUCCUUUCAGGUUCGCGUUUCUUGCAUGCUUGCCAAACUCUACAUCCUUUGUGCAUCAAUUUCACGAAAUCUAUUUCGUACCCAUUGGCCUUUCUCAUACCGAAAUAUAUACAAAAUUUAAAAUGGAAAGUUCAAAGUGAUAAAUUCAGGGUAUUUAUUCAUUAUGUAUUAUAUAAUAUAUAUAACUUGGCAUAACAAACCCAUGCAUGCCCAGCAGUACGAAAACCAUAAUGCAUGCAGAGGACAAAGAGUACAUAUGGAUCAGAUCUGAACAGUGCCUUAAAACUUUAUAAAAUAUAUAAAAAAGUGACACCAAAUUAACUGAUAUAUAUGUAUAUAUAUGGUGCUUCAGUGUUUCUUCCGUCCAUAUCAAUCUCCUUUAUUUGCACACGUUCUUCAUCAGAUCCUGAAAAACCACACGCGUGCACAUACCUUAUUAGUUUGUCACAAGUAGGGGUGGGUAAAAUUGAUGAACUAAACUGAACUGCUAAAAAAUUGAACUGAACUGCAAAAGCACGUAACUAAUUGAUCCCGCUAUCUACUUAUAUAACAAGGAAGUUUUCACAUUACACACAUAUAUGAAUGCAUCUUAUAAAAUGAUCAAGAAUUUUUUUGUACACCAUACAUACACUUUAAUUUUAUAUGAAUCUUACCAUGGGAUGAUAUACUAAAUCACUAUUUAGUAGUGGUAUGGGGGAGGUGGAGAUGAAUACUUGUAUGGUUUCUUAGGUGUUGGUGGAGGUGAAGGGUACUUGUAUGGAGGUGGAGGUGACUUGUACUUGUAAUCUGGUGGAGGAGGAGACUUGUACUUGUACACUGGGGGUGGUGGAGAUGGGUACUUGUAAGGUGGUGGUGGAGGAGAUGGGUACUUGUAUGGUGGGGGUGGUGAUUUGUACUUGUAAAUUGGAGGUGGAGGAGAUGGGUAUUUGUAGGGCUUUUUAGGUGGUGGUGGAGGAGAAGGGUACUUGUAGGGUGGUGGUGGUGACUUGUAUUUGUAAACUGGUGGUGGUGGUGGUGAUGGGUAUUUGUAGGGCUUCUCAGGUGGUGGUGGUGGUGGGGAUUUGUACUUGUAAACUGGUGGUGGUGGUGAUUUAUAUUUGUAGGGUUUCUCUGGUGGUGGAGGAGAUGAAUAGUCGUACUUGUCAUCAGCUGAGGUUUGAGAUGGCAAGCUUAGAGAGACUAUUAUUGCCAAUACAAGAGUAAGUGUAGCAUAGGCCAUUAGAGACCCCAUUUUCUCUCAAACUUCAAAAGGGGUUUUGGUUAUGCUGUUGGGAAUGGCAGUGCCCCCCCUUUAUAUAGUUUCUUUCACCACAUUAACACCACUAAUGUCUAAUUAAUCAUAUUUAAAGGUGUACAGUGAUUUCGAUAUAAUCAAAUUCGAAAAUCAGCCUCGGACACUCUAAGUCAAGUACACUUUAGAUCUUUUCAAUUUGAAAAAUCAUCCUGGACGAUCGAAGGGUAUAGACACUCACAGAAAGUAGAAGAAAAUAAAAUAAUGAUAUAAUUAGUAAUAUAAUAGGAUAAGAAAAGACCACUAUAAAGAAAUCAAAAGUGUCAAAUAGAAAUGUUUAAUUAUACGAUUUGAGUUCCUAAAAAUAAAGAUGCAUUCAAAUUUACCUUAUUGAAAUCUCUAAAUGAAUUUAAUUUUAUACAUUAUCAAAGUAAAGUAAAAAAAAGUUUGUUUUAUAAAAUACUUAGAAAUUAUUAUUGGUAUAUAUCUUUUAAGGUGAUUGUUAUAAAAGUCUUAAGAAAUUAUUAUUAUAUAUAAAUUCGUAUAAGAUUAAUGUAGUGGUUAAGGCUUCGAUAUGUUCAUAUUGAUGAAGGGAAUGAUUUAUUUAAUAGAUGAAUUUGUGUUUAUUUUUUCAUAUAUAAAAUUUUUUAAGAUCAAUGAUAGACACACAUCAUGAGUAAGAUUAACAUUUGAUCCAAUGGAUUAAAAGACAGUCGUGAUUUUUAACUCAGGAUUGAAAAAACCAUGAAAUUGAUAUAGUGAUGUAAGAUUUUAUUACAUUGACAUAUAUGAAAUGAUCUAUUUAGAGGGAAAAACCAUAUUCAAUUCUCUCCAUGUGCAAAAUUCCUUUGUACCAAUGGUAGUCAUGCAGUGUCAUCGUGAUCUCUAACCUAUUAGGUCUGGACGAUCAUACAUCUCAUCUAUCAUAGAUUUUGAUGUAUAAUAUAAGUAUAAAUUAUUGAUAUUAUAAUGAGUUUUUAAAUGGUGAGUAGAAUUAUUAUGUUAAAAGAAUAUCAUCCACAACUAUAUAGAGAAUGUUUUGUUUCAACCUAGCCUCCAGAACAUUAUAUUUAGUGAGUUUUCACUUUUGUGCAAAACAACAUAAUAUAAUGUCAUAAGAUAAAUUUGUACAUUUAGUCUCAAGGAUUUAGUAUUGCAAAAAGGGAAGUCCAUAUAUAUUGUUUUAUUCAAAUUCCAUUUGUUUUUAUUACGUGUAAAUAACUAAUAUUUGAAUUCAAGAAAAAAGACAACAUAAAAGAGUCUAUAAGACCUCCAAGGAGUAUCCCCUAGAAAAUCGCUUUCACAAAAGUCAAAAAACAUAUGAUGUUUCCUGCACUUCAUAUAAAUACUCGUCAUUUAAAGCUUGAUAUGUCGACCAACUUCUCUAUGUGAGAGAACGAUCCUUUCAAGAUAAGGAAACAAAUCCCACAAUGAAUAUCUCACUAAAGUUUAUAAAAGGAUGUCUCCUUCAAUGAAAUAGAAAACUUAAAAACAAGAAAGAAAAAAAAAAGAACAAGAGCACAAGAAAUAUUUAAAGAGAAACUCCAUUAUUCACACAAAUUUUACAUUAUUAUUCUUUGCAAAGCAAAGUAGUUCGUAUUUGUGUCUAAGUGUAUGUUUACUCUUUGAGUGUUAAGAGUACUUGUAUUUAAUCAAACUUUCGUUUGUAAAAAUCAAGAGUAGCUUUGUUAAAAAAUAUUUGGGUUUUUAGAUUUGGGGUCUAAGAAGAUACUAGAAGUGGUAUCAAAAACACUUGUAAAGUCAAGAGUGACAAGUUAAAAUACUUGUUUGUAAUAAAUUAUUGAUUAGUGAAAUCAUUUACUAAUAAAUAAAGGAGAAAUCCAUGUAACUCAAGUUGAGCAACCAGCAUAAAUCAAAUUGUUUUACUUCUCUCCAUAUUACUUUAUUAAGUAUUGUUAUUAUCUUUUUCUAACAUCAUUUUACAUCAAAUGCUUAUUUAAAAAACCAGUUUAAGAAACUCUUAUUUGUCACUUGACGAACACUUUGUUCAUUUUCUACAAUCUAUUUAUUAUUAGCACACGAUCAGUGUUUUUCUUUAUUUUAUCCAUAUUAUCUUUGUUAUUGUUAAAUUUUUUAUUUUUAAUAAACAUAUUAUUCAACCCAUUUUUGAUGUGUUUCUUAUAAUUUGAUAAUUGAGGAAAAAAAUAUUAUUAUAUAUAACUAUUAUAAUCCGACAAUUGUAUAUAAAAUUUGAGGACUAAAAUGAACAAUUAUCCACAUUUAGAGACUAAAAAAACUUUAAGUUUAACAACUAAAAAAAAUAUAAACCCCAAAUUAAGGAAUAACAUCGUAACCAAACCUUUUUUUAGUUUUUUUAUCAUUGACCUACUCAGUAAUGCUUGUCAUUGAAUAUUAUUGCCUUUAUAUUUAUAGUGAUUUUACUUAUAAUAUGUAAAUACACAUAUAUAUUUGAUGAUAAAAUUAAAAAAUAUUAAUCAUCUGCUAAUUAUAUUAAAUUGCACAAAGACAUUUGAAAAGUAUCCAUAAAAGAUAUAAAAGUAUCCUUAAUAAAUGAUCAAAUUUUGUGUUUGAUUUCUAUUAAAAAAAUUAGUCUUUGGUCUCUGAUAAGUUUUUUUUUUUACCUUAAAUGACAAUCUAAAUCACUUUACUUAACUAUUUAAAGUUUUAUCUAAACAAAUUUAGAGACCAAAAAUAUUCUAAAAUUUAUCAAGGAGUAAAGACUAAAAACCAUUUAUAAGGAUUAAAUGUAAAAUUCGAUCAUUUAUCUAAAUAUCAAAAAAUAUAUUUAAAUAUUUAAUUAAUUAUUACAAUUUAUAUCCAAUAUAAAAAUCCAAUGCAUCCCUCGCGAAAAAAGUUAGUAUGAUCAUAUUAUAUUGCGUGAGUUUGUUUAACUUAAAAAACAUAACUUUAAAAUUAAUAUUUAAAUUUUUGUAAAGAAGCAAAUAGAUUUUCUUCUUAAUAAGCAUAAUUUUUAUUUAAAUUAAAAAUAGUUUAAACAAAUACAAUAGGAAAUAAAAAAAAACUGUUUAUUUUAUUAAAAUAAAUAUUUUUUAAACAUAUAAGUUUAAACAAACCAGUCCAUUACAAUAUUCAAUAAUUAAAUUAUUGAAAAUAUUUCAUAUAUAUUAAUUAGACUUUCAUCUUGUAACCAGCGCGUUAAUUAUCGUCAAUGGACUAUUGAGAUAAAAUUAUAAUGUUGAUUAUAUUGAAAAAUAAUUCCAAAAAGUAUCAACAAUAUGUGAGUUUUAUUCUUGUUUGGUAGAAAAACAACAAGAAAGAUAUAGUAUGAAUAUAAGAUUUGAUGUGUAGAAAAAGUUGCAUUGUUUAUUUUUCGUGUGUUUGGCAACCAUUGUAGACUUUGGAUCAGAGACUGCAUUCUAAUUGAGCUGCAGAAUAGCCACUCAGCUGGUAAUGUUGACAUUAACCUUAUUUUCUUUCUAGAAAAAGACACCAACCUUAUUUAACUAUUUAGGUUUUGUACUUUGUGAGCAAUGUUCAAACAAAAAGUCUUCGAUCCAUAACAAGAGUUUGUAAUUUGUGUUACUUUGCGUCUAUAUUCACUAGCAAUAAGCAAAAUUUGAAAAGCGAGUACAUUGUUGCCUAACCAAUUAAUUAAGGCAUUAUCAACCGAGAAAUCCUAAAAAUACAAUUUUUUAAUACACUUUAUUUAACUGAUUGAAACAUAUUAAAAAUGACAUUUUGUUGAUCUUACAUCAUACUUAAUAUUUGUCUUUCUAUUUUUAUAAUUUUUAAUAAAUUUUAACUAAUUUAAAAAUAUAUUUAAAAGAGAUUAUCAGAAAAUGUAAUUGAUCCUAACAAUCCUCUUACUCACUUUAUUCGAAAAAUGAGCCAUGAAUUUUGAGAAGUUUAAUUGGGUACUGUUGUGGAGUGUUGAUUGAAUACCCCAUCAUUGCAACUUAGGGUACUGAUUAGUUAUGUUCCCACUCAAAUCUCUGCCCUUGAAUUAAUUAUAUAUGCUACACUUUUGUAUAGGGUCUGGCUGCACAAAAGCGAGAGAAGAGAAAGAGAGAAAGCAACAGCUAGCUGAACUUGGAAAAAGAAGAAACGUCUGGCUGCUAUUGCCAUGGAAUGCACCUAAUUAUGUAACUGAAUGCAUAUUUGAGUUUAGGAUAUAUAUAUAUAUGCGCGCGCGCGUUCUUAGUGCUUCCAAGUAUUAUUGUUUAUCUGUCAUAUGAAGAUAAAAAAUAAGUGUCUGGGAAGAAUAUAUAAUAUGCAGGCCAUCUCCCAGCCAUCUACAAUAUUUUAUCUAUCAUUAAAGUUUUAUGGCUAUUGGCUUAAUAGUGCUAGAGAAUUAUUAAAUUGUAUGCAGUAACAUACAACAAGUCUUUUUGAUCUUCCUCUUCUCUUUUUCCUUAGACUAAAAAUUGUAUUUCAUUUUUCUUAAAUGAAUAUUAACCGUUUUAAAAACUAUUAGAAUUCACAUUUUAAAAUAUAACGGUUCGUUAGCACUUAAUGAAGUCAAGUUAAUAGUAGAAACCAAAAAUAAAAUUUAAAAUUUAUCAGAGAUGAAGAUAAAAAAAAUUAAUAAAGACCAAAAAUAAAAUUCGAUAAUUUAAAAUAGAUAAAAAUAUAUAUUUAAGUCUUUAUAUUUAUAGAAUGGUUAGGCUACUCUAGCUCCCAAACUAUCUAAGAUCCUGCUAGUUAUAUGAUCACGAUCAACACUUCAAUAAAGUGCUCCUUUGUGUUAAGUAUUUCUUUGGCACAAUGUUUUAAUAAAAUCUAGAGUUUCUAAAUUGCAAUGAUCAAAAUAAAUUAAGAUGGCAAUGCAAGCAACAGUUUGGUUUGCAGUGCUUUAAUUUAGGCAAUAAAGAGAGCUCAAAAUUCUCUUGUAUUCUCACAAACAUAAGAGAGGAGUUUGAUCAAAUUGAUGAAAUAAACAAGAUAUAUUCUUUGUAUUAGAUUAAUACUAUAUUUGGUUUUGAGUUUUGACUAUUUAUUCUCGUGUUGGUCUGUAAGCCCAAAAGAGUGGCUAGAUAUUAAGUAAUGUGUUGUAAUGGCAUCUGGAGUGCGGUUAUAAUGUUUUUAUAUUGGGCAACAAUGAUUUGCCUUUUUUGGUGAUUUUAUUUUCAUCUUUCAUGGAGAAUUAUGAUUUGAGAUGGGGCAAUUAGAUGGAGAAUUUUCAAUCCCAUAUGGUAAUGUACGUAGCUCAAAGCCAAGUUCGAAUUGGUCAACUAAGAUGGAAGGGUGUCAGAUGAAUAAUUUGGAGAAGGAGGGCCUGUUGUAUUGAUCUUAAGAGAAAUUUCAAAAGGCAAAGGCCUACAUUAUCUAAAAUAAUUUUGUUGCAUUAAUUUAUAUACUAACUUGUGAUAUUUACCUUUUAAGUAACUAAUAAGAGAUGAAAAUCUCACAUACAUAAACUUGGAUCAUGUGAACUUGUCUUAGUGCAAGGUGAAUUUUAGGUGCUUAUAUAUAAUAUGAUAUAUGAAGUCGUUAAUCCUUCGCUUUCCACUUUCUCUGUCUUACGAUGAUUCUCACCCUGACUUUCUUUCUCUCAAUAUACUACUACUAAUUUCUUUUUUUCGGCUAAUGAAUUAUUCAGUAAGGAUCUAAAAUGUAGUUUAACAUACUCUCUGGGAAUAGUUUUUUUUUUUUUUUGUUAGACACAGUCUCGGUAGUUUUCAUGUAGAUACGCUUUGUUUUUUUCUUAGUAUUUUUUAUACAGCUGUAAUAGUUUGUAAAUAAGUAGUGAAUAAUGUGUUGAUAAUCAACCAUCAUUUCGUUAAUACAUUAUUAAUUUAACCGUUUACUAAUGUAGAGCAUGUCAUUUUAAUUCCACAUUUGCAUUUCUUGCAUAUCGUUAUACUCGUGGCGGGUACGUAUACCGGAAUAUGUAGAAAUUUUAAAUGGGAAUUUCAAAGUAGAAAAAAAAUCAUGGUAUUUAUUUAUUAUAUAGUAAUAUAACUGGAGUAACAAGACAUGGAUCAGAUCUGAACAGUGCCUUAAAACUUUGAAUAUAUAAAGUACAAAAUAAAAAUAAUAAAGGGAAACCAAAUAAACACUACUGCUUUCACAAGUUCCACUCUUCACUGUAUAAACUGCAUGGUGCUUCUUCCCUCUCCUUUAUUUGCACAAGUUCUUCAGAUCCUAAAAAAUUACACGCAUGCACGUAAAUUAUUAGUUUGCCAUAACAUGUAAUAAAUUGAUACUGUUAUCUAGUACAAAGUAACGAAGAAGAUUUCAUAAUGCAUAUAUGAAUGCAUCCUAAAAUUAGCAAGAUUUUUUUUCCCUACACCCGUGUGCAUAUAUACUGUUAGAUAUGGAAAUUGAGAAACAAGAAAGUAAGGAAUAGAUCAUAAAGUAAUAAAUAUAAGAGGAAAGAAAGACAAAGGUUAAAAAAAAGUAUAAGAUAAAUGUAAAAUUUAGAAUAUAAAAAAACUAAUUAGGAUUCUUAUUAGAUCUUCUUAGCAGAACAAUAUUUAAGUAUCGAUUUAUAAGUCUCACUUUGACUUUGUAUAUGCUAUUUUUACACUUCUACAAAAGAGGGAGGAAGAGAAAAAACAAAAUGUGAGUUUUUCUUUUUUUGGAAUAAAAAAUAAAUGUACAAGGAAGGGUGAAGUUGUAACAGUGGGAAUUAUAUUUAUAACAUUAUAAUUUCAAUAAAUAAACAAAUGUUUUAUAUCAUAAUAGGAAACUUUGCUGGAUUUUAAAUUUUAAAUUAUAGUAGUAGUUAACUACAAUUACGAUUACAGUAUAUUAAUAUUCUAGAAUUUUAUGUAAUUGCAAUUUAAAACCUUGAUUGAAAUAAUUAAAAUGGACAAUAUAUAGAUUUUAUAUGAAGCUUACCAUGGGGCGCUAUACUAAAAUCACUAUCUAGUAGUGGUAUGGGGGAGGUGGUGAUGCAUAGACAUAGUGUGGAGGAGGUGGAGAUGGAUACUUGUAUGGUUUCUUAGGUGGUGGUGGAGGUGACUUGUAGUAGUAAGCUGGGGGUGGUGGAGAAGGGUACUUGUAUGGUGGAGGUGGAGGAGAAGAGUACUUGUAUGGAGGAGGAGGGGACUUGUACUUGUAUACUGGGGGUGGAGGAGAUGGGUAUUUGUAGGGUUUCUUAGGAGGUGGUGGAGGAGAAGGGUACUUGUAGGGUGGGGGUGGUGACUUGUAUUUGUAAACUGGUGGUGGUGGUGAUGGGUAUUUGUAGGGCUUCUUAGGUGGUGGUGGUGGGGACUUGUACUUGUAAACUGGUGGUGGUGGUGACUUGUAUUUGUAAACUGGAGGUGGGGGUGAUGGGUAUUUGUAGGGCUUUUUAGGUGGUGGUGGAGGAGAAGGGUACUUGUAGGGUGGUGGUGGUGACUUGUAUUUGUAAACUGGUGGUGGUGGUGAUGGGUAUUUGUAAGGCUUCUUAGGAGGUGGUGGAGGAGAUGAAUACUUGUAGGGUGGUGGUGGGGACUUGUACUUGUAAACUGGUGGUGGUGGAGAUGAAUAGUCGUACUUGUCAGCUGAGGCUUGAGAUGACAAGCUUAGAGAAACUAUUGCCAAUACAAGAGUGAGAGUAAGAGAGGCCAUUAGAGACCCCAUUUUCUCCCAACUUCAAAUAGGGUUU